GAAUUGCAGAAUCCCGUGAACCAUCGAGUCUUUGAACGCAAGUUGCGCCCGAAGCCCUCGGGCCAAGGGCACGCCUGCCUGGGCGUCACGC
RNAcentral lists this ribosomal RNA (91 nucleotides) under Rungia pectinata. Its description in RNAcentral is "partial 5.8S ribosomal RNA". It matches the Rfam family "5.8S ribosomal RNA", at positions 69 to 154 of the family's 154-position model. Rfam says of the family: 5.8S ribosomal RNA (5.8S rRNA) is a component of the large subunit of the eukaryotic ribosome. It is transcribed by RNA polymerase I as part of the 45S precursor that also contains 18S and 28S rRNA. The record is from RNAcentral. Lineage: Eukaryota; Viridiplantae; Streptophyta; Magnoliopsida; Lamiales; Acanthaceae.